RNA transcript from Olea europaea var. sylvestris, 873 nucleotides. It is a transcript of the gene named frataxin, mitochondrial-like, with no coding region annotated. The transcript is spliced from 4 exons. NCBI's taxonomy places the organism in Eukaryota, Viridiplantae, Streptophyta, Magnoliopsida, Lamiales, Oleaceae. The record is from RefSeq and is a predicted model, not a curated record.
UUUUAAAAAUAUUCGCUCUCGCUGUCACAUUGAUAACAGAUCGACACUUCCAAUUUCAGGAGUUUUCUUCAUUGAGUUAGGUUCAUGCUCGAACAAUGGCGAAGCUUGUUCAAUUGACAAGAACAGUAUUCAGAUCCCUAAAACAUCAAUCAUCAUUCACUUUCCAAUUACAAUCUAGAAGAUCUUCUUUUUACUUUUUGAAUACAUAUUUUACAAAACCCUGGAAUUAUUCUCCCAAUCCGAGAAUAAUCUUCACGUCAUGCAGCUAUUCUUCUGUCAUUGAAGAAUUUCAGACCCCUACAACCAUUGAUUACCGGUAAUAAUAUAUCGAUACAUGUACAGUUCUGUGCUUCCGGAAGAGAAGUAUCACAUGUUGGCUAAUUCCACGAUCCAUGACCUGCUAGAGAAGCUAGAGAAUAUGGAGACUCUGUGGAGAUUGAUGGUUUCGAUGUAGACUAUGGGGUAAGAAUGAUGGUUUGAUGUUUGAAAGUGGUUAAUUUUGAAAACAUUUUGUGUCUGUGCUGCUGUAAAUAUGGGUUUCAUUUUGUACAAUGAGGUAUUAACUCUGAAGCUCGGGAAUUUGGGAACCUAUGUAAUAAACAAGCAAACGCCAAAUAGACAGAUUUGGAUGUCAUCUCCCCUGAGUGGCCCAUCUAGGUUUGAUUGGGAUCAAAAUACCCAAGCUUGGAUUUAUAGGCGAACUAAACGGAACUUGAUCAAUGUUUUGGAAACUGAGUUGGAACAACUUUGUGGGAAGUCCAUUAACCUUUCUUCAGCCUAAAGUCGUAAAAUAAAUGUAACUUCUCCAGUAGUCAUUGGUACGAUAGUGAUUAUCUUUUAAUCAAAUGUGAUCUCUCUUUUUAUUUCUAUUUA